GGGGAUGUAAUGGUUUCGACAUAUUACCAGAAAUAUAAAUAGCAAGUAGUGGAUUCUCGUUGGCCACUUAAAAAACGAGAAACUAAAUAUAAACGCUAAUAAACAAGAAGUAGCAUUAGCUGCCUAAGUUGCAGCUACACUUUACUAGAUAUCCCACAUAUUUAGAUAAAGUGCCGAUUUUGUGGGAAACAAAACUACUUUUGCUUCAAAAGUAGUGGGUAUUUAGAAGCUAUAUCUUAUUUUAACCUGUUUAUCGGUGAAAAUAAGAUGAAAUUAAAAGAUAAACUAAACUUGUAGAAGUUUAUAUGGAAAGUAUUAUGGACAGGAGUUCGACUCUCCUCAUCUCCACCA
This 351-nucleotide transfer-messenger RNA is filed under the name chicken gut metagenome. It matches the Rfam family "transfer-messenger RNA". Rfam says of the family: Bacterial tmRNA, also known as 10Sa RNA or SsrA, is named for its dual tRNA and mRNA-like properties. The record is from RNAcentral.